RNAcentral lists this ribosomal RNA (112 nucleotides) under Intramacronucleata sp. RNAcentral describes it as "partial small subunit ribosomal RNA". It matches the Rfam family "Eukaryotic small subunit ribosomal RNA", at positions 1678 to 1804 of the family's 1831-position model. Lineage: Eukaryota; Ciliophora. The record is from RNAcentral.
GCUCCUACCGAUUGAGUGAUCCGGUGAAUUUUCUGGACUUCUGGUUCGCGCCGAGAAGGAAGUUAAAUAAACCUUAUCACUUAGAGGAAGGAGAAGUCGUAACAAGGUUUCC